This 71-nucleotide transfer RNA is filed under the name Platygaster sp. ZJUH_2016029. Its description in RNAcentral is "tRNA-Asp". Lineage: Eukaryota; Metazoa; Arthropoda; Insecta; Hymenoptera; Platygastridae. The record is from RNAcentral.
UUAGAAUUAGUUAAAUAAUUUAAUAAUAUUAAUUUGUCAAUUUAAAGUUAUAAAAAUUUUUAUAUUCUUAU